AAGAUUAAACUGAAGAGUUUGAUCCUGGCUCAGAUUGAACGCUGGCGGUAUGCUUAACACAUGCAAGUCGAACGGAAAC
RNAcentral lists this ribosomal RNA (79 nucleotides) under Candidatus Thioglobus sp. RNAcentral describes it as "partial 16S ribosomal RNA". It matches the Rfam family "Bacterial small subunit ribosomal RNA", at positions 1 to 73 of the family's 1533-position model. Lineage: Bacteria; Pseudomonadati; Pseudomonadota; Gammaproteobacteria; Pseudothioglobaceae (SeqCode). The record is from RNAcentral.